GCUAAUUCUGGUGUAGCAAUAUAUCAGAGUUGGAGUGGCGCAAGGGUGCGUAACACGUGGGUAAUUUGCCGUGAAGUUGGGGAUAACUCGCUGAAAGGCGAGCUAAUACCGGAUGUGGUUUUUGGGAGGCAUCUUCUGACAACCAAAGCUGGGGAUCGUAAGACCUGGCGCUUCAUGAUAAGCCCGCGGCCUAUCAGCUAGUUGGUGAGGUAAUGGCUCACCAAGGCUACGAUCCGUAGCUGGUCUGAGAGGAUGAUCAGCCACACUGGGACUGAGACACGGCCCAGACUCCUACGGGAGGCAGCAGUGGGGAAUCUUGCGCAAUGGCCUAACGGCUGACGCAGCGACGCCGCGUGUGGGAUGAAGCUCCUCGGAGUGUAAACCCCUUUCAGUUGGGACGAAGCUUCGGCGGUUAAUAGCCGUUCGGAGUGACGGUACCUUCACAAGAAGCACCGGCUAACUACGUGCCAGCAGCCGCGGUAAUACGUAGGGUGCAAGCGUUGUCCGGAAUUAUUGGGCGUAAAGAGCGUGUAGGCGGCCCGAUUAGUCCGCUGUGAAAGUCCAGGGCUCAACCCUGGAAUGCCGGUGGAUACUGUCGGGCUAGAGUCCGGAAGGGGCGAGUGGAAUUCCUGGUGUAGCGGUGAAAUGCGCAGAUAUCACGAGGAACACCAAUGGCGAACGCAGCUCGCUGGGACGUGACUGACGCUGAGACGCGAAAGCGUGGGGAGCAAACAGGAUUAGAUACCUUGGUAGUCCACGCCGUAAACGA
RNAcentral lists this ribosomal RNA (769 nucleotides) under uncultured Rubrobacterales bacterium. RNAcentral's name for it is "bacterial SSU rRNA". It matches the Rfam family "Bacterial small subunit ribosomal RNA", at positions 66 to 809 of the family's 1533-position model. Lineage: Bacteria; Bacillati; Actinomycetota; Rubrobacteria; Rubrobacterales. The record is from RNAcentral.